CAGAGUUAUCUAACUCCCAAACCCAUGUGAACUUACCAUUAUGUUGCUUCGGUCGACCCUCCUCGGGGGGCCGGCCGGAGGUUUUUAACUCUUGACGUUUGAUGUCUCUCUGAGUAACUUUAUAAAUAAAGUCA
Molecule: unclassified non-coding RNA, 134 nt
Filed under: uncultured fungus
Lineage: Eukaryota; Fungi
Description: sequence contains ITS1, 5.8S rRNA gene
Source: RNAcentral